RNAcentral lists this ribosomal RNA (406 nucleotides) under uncultured bacterium. RNAcentral's name for it is "partial 16S ribosomal RNA". It matches the Rfam family "Bacterial small subunit ribosomal RNA", at positions 29 to 526 of the family's 1533-position model. The record is from RNAcentral.
AUUGAACGCUGGCGGCAGGCCUAACACAUGCAAGUCGAGCGAGCGGCGGACGGGUGAGUGAUGUCUGGGAAAAUGCCUGAUGGAGGGGGAUAACUACUGUAAACGGUAGCUACUACCGCAUACCCUCAGAUGUGCACAGAUGGGAUUAGCUGGUGGGUGGGGUAACGGCUCACCUUGGCGACGAUCCUUAGCUGGUCUGAGAGGAUGACCAGCAACACGGGAACUGGGACCCGGUCCAGCUUCCUACGGAAGGAAGAAGUGGGGAAUAUUGCACAAUGGGGGCAAGCCUGAUGCAGCCAUGCGGGGGGUGGGAAGAAGGCCUCCGGGUUGUAAAGCACUUUCAGCGGGGAGGCGUUACCCGCAGAAGAAGCACCGGCUAACUCCGUGCCAGCAGCCGCGGUAAUUC